GUAAUGCGUGGGUACCUACCCUGGGGCCGGGAUAGCCGUCCGAGAGGGCGGGUAAUACCGGAUGAUCUCGGGAGAGCAAAGGUCCGCCGCCCUGGGAGGGGCCCACGUGAUAUUACCUAGUUGGCGGGGUAACGGGCCCACCAAGGGGGAGAUGUCUAGCGGGUGUGAGAGCACGACCCGCGCCACUGGCACUGAGACACUGGCCAGACACCUACGGGUGGCUGCAGUCGAGGAUCUUCGGCAAUGGGCGCAAGCCCGACCGAGCGAUGCCGCGUGUGCGACGAAGGCCUUCGGGUUGUAAAGCACUGUCGAGGGGGAGAAAACCGCAAGGUUGAUCUAUCCCUGGAGGAAGCACGGGCUAAGUUCGUGCCAGCA
RNAcentral lists this ribosomal RNA (375 nucleotides) under uncultured bacterium. RNAcentral describes it as "bacterial SSU rRNA". It matches the Rfam family "Bacterial small subunit ribosomal RNA", at positions 110 to 513 of the family's 1533-position model. The record is from RNAcentral.